RNAcentral lists this ribosomal RNA (454 nucleotides) under Listeria monocytogenes. RNAcentral describes it as "bacterial LSU rRNA". It matches the Rfam family "Bacterial large subunit ribosomal RNA", at positions 260 to 711 of the family's 2925-position model. The record is from RNAcentral. Lineage: Bacteria; Bacillati; Bacillota; Bacilli; Caryophanales; Listeriaceae.
GGAAAGAGCCCAAACCAAGAAGCUUGCUUCUUGGGGUUGUAGGACACUCUAUACGGAGUUACAAAAGAAAGUUAUAAAUGAAGCGGUCUGGAAAGGCCCGCCAAAGACGGUAACAGCCCGGUAGUUGAAAUGGCUUUCCCUCCAGAGUGGAUCCUGAGUACGGCGGAACACGUGAAAUUCCGUCGGAAUCCGGGAGGACCAUCUCCCAAGGCUAAAUACUCCCUAGUGACCGAUAGUGAACCAGUACCGUGAGGGAAAGGUGAAAAGCACCCCGGAAGGGGAGUGAAACAGUUCCUGAAACCGUGUGCCUACAAGUAGUUAGAGCCCGUUAAUGGGUGAUAGCGUGCCUUUUGUAGAAUGAACCGGCGAGUUACGAUUUGUUGCAAGGUUAAGCGGAAAAAGCGGAGCCGUAGCGAAAGCGAGUCUGAAUAGGGCGCAUAAGUAACAGGUCGUA